RNAcentral lists this ribosomal RNA (497 nucleotides) under uncultured bacterium. RNAcentral's name for it is "partial 16S ribosomal RNA". It matches the Rfam family "Bacterial small subunit ribosomal RNA", at positions 28 to 507 of the family's 1533-position model. The record is from RNAcentral.
GAUGAACGCUGGCGGCGUGCCUAAUACAUGCAAGUCGAGCGAACAGACGAGGAGCUUGCCCCUCUGACGUUAGCGGCGGACGGGUGAGUAACACGUGGAUAACCUACCUAUAAGACUGGGAUAACUUCGGGAAACCGGAGCUAAUACCGGAUAAUAUAUUGAACCGCAUGGUUCAAUAGUGAAAGACGGUUUUGCUGUCACUUAUAGAUGUAUCCGCGCCGCAUUAGCUAGUUGGUAAGGUAACGGCUUACCAAGGCAACGAUGCGUAGCCGACCUGAGAGGGUGAUCGGCCACACUGGAACUGAGACACGGUCCAGACUCCUACGGGAGGCAGCAGUAGGGAAUCUUCCGCAAUGGGCGAAAGCCUGACGGAGCAACGCCGCGUGAGUGAUGAAGGUCUUCGGAUCGUAAAACUCUGUUAUUAGGGAAGAACAAAUGUGUAAGUAACUAUGCACGUCUUGACGGUACCUAAUCAGAAAGCCACGGCUAACUACGUG